Molecule: unclassified non-coding RNA, 201 nt
Filed under: soil metagenome
Description: partial internal transcribed spacer 1
Source: RNAcentral
CCGAGUUUACAACUCCCAAACCCCUGUGAACAUUACCAACUGUUGCCUCGGCGGAAUUUCUGCCCCGGGCGCGUCGCAGCCCCGGACCAAGGCGCCCGCCGGAGGACCAAUUUACAAACUCUUUGUAUGUCCCUCUGCGGAUUUUUAUUAUACAUUCUGAGCUUUCUCGGCGCUCCUAGCGAGCGUUUCGAAAAUGAAUCA